CGCACAUUGCGCCCACUAGUAUUCUGGUGGGCAUGCCUGUUCGAGCGUCAUUAAGUCCACUCAAGCUUCAUCGCUUGGAAUUGGGAGACUACUUCACUGUAGCUCCUCAAAGACAGCGGCGGAGUUGUGUUAUCCUCUGAGCUUAGUAAUUCGUUCUAGCUUUUGAAGUGACACAUCGCUUGCCGUAAAACACCCAUCUUUUUUAUGGUUGACCUCGGAUCAGGUAGGAAUACCCGCUGAACUUAA
Molecule: unclassified non-coding RNA, 246 nt
Filed under: Dactylaria fragilis
Lineage: Eukaryota; Fungi; Ascomycota; Leotiomycetes; Helotiales
Description: partial contains 5.8S ribosomal RNA, internal transcribed spacer 2, and large subunit ribosomal RNA
Source: RNAcentral